Molecule: ribosomal RNA, 421 nt
Filed under: uncultured bacterium
Lineage: Bacteria
Description: bacterial SSU rRNA
Rfam family: Bacterial small subunit ribosomal RNA
Source: RNAcentral
AGCCAGCAGCCGCGGUAAUACGGGGGUGGCGAGCGUUACUCGGAUUUACUGGGUGUAAAGGGCAGGUAGGCGGCCCGGCAAGUUGAAGGUGAAAUCCUGCGACUCAAUCGCAGAACAGCCUUCAAAACUAUCGGGCUUGAAGAUGGAAGAGGAGAGCGGAAUUCCCGGUGUAAGGGUGAAAUCUGUAGAUAUCGGGAGGAACACCAGUGGCGAAAGCGGCUCUCUGGUCCGUCCUUGACGCUAAGCUGCGAAAGCUAGGGGAGCAAACAGGAUUAGAUACCCUGGUAGUCCUAGCCGUAAACGAUGAGCACUAGGUGUCGGUGGUUUACCCUUCGGCGCCGUAAGGUAACCUGUUAAGUGCUCCACCUGAAGACUACGACCGCAAGGUUAAAACUCAAAGGAAUUGACGGGGGCCCGCACA